GGAGACCUGUCAAGAGGAGCUUUUCUGAAAUGCAUUCCAGCUCAGGUUACUUCAGCACAGCAACGUACAUUAUCAGGAUAAAAGCUGCAAUAUCAUCACUUCCAUGAUUCCUCAAAGUUAUUCACCGUUCUGGCUUCGACAUGAAUGUUCUCAAAACCCUGAAAUCCCCCACCUACUAUCACCAUUGUAGGACCACUGUCAGCUCACAAGCUGCAGCUCUUCAAGAAGAACAAUAAUUAACACCUCCUCAGGGAGACCAGAUUCUGAGGUCACUUUUUAUUUCCUUGGUCUCUCUUUGGGCCUCUGACCAUCUGUAGCCAAUAUCUGAGAUAAUGGGAACUGCAGAUGCUGGAGAAUCCAAGAUAACAAAGUGUGAAGCUGGAUGAACACAGCAGGCCAAGCAGCAUCUCAGGAGCACAAAAGCUGACGUUUCGGGCCUAGACCCUUCAUCAGAAAAAUAUAAUUUCAGUACUGUAGCUGUAAUUCCUGUACUUGCCACAAGGUAGCAAUGUGGUAUUACAUUUGUAUCCUUCAGAA
Long non-coding RNA from Stegostoma tigrinum, 537 nucleotides. RefSeq lists it as uncharacterized. The transcript has 3 exons. The record is from RefSeq and is a predicted model, not a curated record. NCBI's taxonomy places the organism in Eukaryota, Metazoa, Chordata, Chondrichthyes, Orectolobiformes, Stegostomatidae.